This 254-nucleotide long non-coding RNA is filed under the name Lathyrus oleraceus (garden pea). RNAcentral's name for it is "Pisum sativum (pea) long non-coding RNA (PSAT_LNC018611)". The record is from RNAcentral. Lineage: Eukaryota; Viridiplantae; Streptophyta; Magnoliopsida; Fabales; Fabaceae.
UCACAGUCGAUAAACUUUUUGCUUAGGUAAAUUGCAUGCUCUUUUCGACAAGACUAGUCAUGCUGACCCAAUACGCCUCAUAGACCCCUUGAGGGCUGUCAAGUACCAGAUUAACAGUUGUUUCUUCCACGGGAGGCAUUAGAAUCGGAGGUUCCUGCUACUUAUUUUCCUUUCCAUGCCCCUUGGCAGUCACCAUUCCACCUGACCAUUUGAUUUCUUUUCUCUUUUAUUUGUUUUUGGUUCAGGCGUUUCUA